Molecule: ribosomal RNA, 1067 nt
Filed under: Limosilactobacillus fermentum
Lineage: Bacteria; Bacillati; Bacillota; Bacilli; Lactobacillales; Lactobacillaceae
Description: bacterial SSU rRNA
Rfam family: Bacterial small subunit ribosomal RNA
Source: RNAcentral
CGUUGACGGUAUUUAACCAGAAAGUCACGGCUAACUACGUGCCAGCAGCCGCGGUAAUACGUAGGUGGCAAGCGUUAUCCGGAUUUAUUGGGCGUAAAGAGAGUGCAGGCGGUUUUCUAAGUCUGAUGUGAAAGCCUUCGGCUUAACCGGAGAAGUGCAUCGGAAACUGGAUAACUUGAGUGCAGAAGAGGGUAGUGGAACUCCAUGUGUAGCGGUGGAAUGCGUAGAUAUAUGGAAGAACACCAGUGGCGAAGGCGGCUACCUGGUCUGCAACUGACGCUGAGACUCGAAAGCAUGGGUAGCGAACAGGAUUAGAUACCCUGGUAGUCCAUGCCGUAAACGAUGAGUGCUAGGUGUUGGAGGGUUUCCGCCCUUCAGUGCCGGAGCUAACGCAUUAAGCACUCCGCCUGGGGAGUACGACCGCAAGGUUGAAACUCAAAGGAAUUGACGGGGGCCCGCACAAGCGGUGGAGCAUGUGGUUUAAUUCGAAGCUACGCGAAGAACCUUACCAGGUCUUGACAUCUUGCGCCAACCCUAGAGAUAGGGCGUUUCCUUCGGGAACGCAAUGACAGGUGGUGCAUGGUCGUCGUCAGCUCGUGUCGUGAGAUGUUGGGUUAAGUCCCGCAACGAGCGCAACCCUUGUUACUAGUUGCCAGCAUUAAGUUGGGCACUCUAGUGAGACUGCCGGUGACAAACCGGAGGAAGGUGGGGACGACGUCAGAUCAUCAUGCCCCUUAUGACCUGGGCUACACACGUGCUACAAUGGACGGUACAACGAGUCGCGAACUCGCGAGGGCAAGCAAAUCUCUUAAAACCGUUCUCAGUUCGGACUGCAGGCUGCAACUCGCCUGCACGAAGUCGGAAUCGCUAGUAAUCGCGGAUCAGCAUGCCGCGGUGAAUACGUUCCCGGGCCUUGUACACACCGCCCGUCACACCAUGAGAGUUUGUAACACCCAAAGUCGGUGGGGUAACCUUUUAGGAGCCAGCCGCCUAAGGUGGGACAGAUGAUUAGGGUGAAGUCGUAACAAGGUAGCCGUAGGAGAACCUGCGGCUGGAUCACCUCCUUU